This 465-nucleotide ribosomal RNA is filed under the name uncultured bacterium. Its description in RNAcentral is "bacterial SSU rRNA". It matches the Rfam family "Bacterial small subunit ribosomal RNA", at positions 338 to 795 of the family's 1533-position model. The record is from RNAcentral.
CCUACGGGAGGCAGCAGUGGGGAAUAUUGCACAAUGGGCGCAAGCCUGAUGCAGCCAUGCCGCGUGUAUGAAGAAGGCCCUAGGGUUGUAAAGUACUUUCAGUCGGGAGGAAGGCGUUGGUGCUAAUAUCACCAACGAUUGACGUUACCGACAGAAGAAGCACCGGCUAACUCCGUGCCAGCAGCCGCGGUAAUACGGAGGGCGCAAGCGUUAAUCGGAAUUACUGGGCGUAAAGCGCACGCAGGCAGUUGAUUAAGUUAGAUGUGAAAUCCCCGGGCUUAACCUGGGAAUGGCAUCUAAGACUGGUCAGCUAGAGUCUUGUAGAGGGGGGUAGAAUUCCAUGUGUAGCGGUGAAAUGCGUAGAGAUGUGGAGGAAUACCGGUGGCGAAGGCGGCCCCCUGGACAAAGACUGACGCUCAGGUGCGAAAGCGUGGGGAGCAAACAGGAUUAGAUACCCCCGUAGUC